UACCAGCACCCCGAGUGGUCGGGACGAUUAUUGGGCCUAAAGCAUCCGUAGCCGGUCCUACAAGUCUUCCGUUAAAUCCACCUGCUUAACAGAUGGGCUGCGGAAGAUACUAUAGGGCUAGGAGGCGGGAGAGGCAAGCGGUACUCGAUGGGUAGGGGUAAAAUCCGUUGAUCCAUUGAAGACCACCAGUGGCGAAGGCGGCUUGCCAGAACGCGCUCGACGGUGAGGGAUGAAAGCUGGGGGAGCAAACCGG
RNAcentral lists this ribosomal RNA (253 nucleotides) under uncultured bacterium. RNAcentral's name for it is "partial 16S ribosomal RNA". It matches the Rfam family "Archaeal small subunit ribosomal RNA", at positions 474 to 727 of the family's 1478-position model. The record is from RNAcentral.